Molecule: ribosomal RNA, 254 nt
Filed under: uncultured bacterium
Lineage: Bacteria
Description: partial 16S ribosomal RNA
Rfam family: Bacterial small subunit ribosomal RNA
Source: RNAcentral
UACGUAGGGACCAAGCGUUGUUCGGAUUUACUGGGCGUAAAGGGCGCGUAGGCGGCCACGACAAGUCAGUUGUGAAAUCUCUGGGCUUAACUCAGAACGGUCAACUGAUACUGUCGGGCUAGAGUGCAGAAGGGGCAACUGGAAUUCUCGGUGUAGCGGUGAAAUGCGUAGAUAUCGAGAGGAACACCUGCGGCGAAGGCGGGUUGCUGGGCUGACACUGACGCUGAGGCGCGAAAGCUAGGGGAGCGAACGGG